Molecule: ribosomal RNA, 752 nt
Filed under: uncultured bacterium
Lineage: Bacteria
Description: bacterial SSU rRNA
Rfam family: Bacterial small subunit ribosomal RNA
Source: RNAcentral
ACGCUGAGGCACGAAAGCGUGGGUAUCGAACAGGAUUAGAUACCCUGGUAGUCCACGCAGUAAACGAUGAAUGCCGGCUGUCCGGUCCGACUGAGGGCUGGGUGGCGAAGCGAAAGCGAUAAGCAUCCCACCUGGGGAGUACGCCGGCAACGGUGAAACUCAAAGGAAUUGACGGGGGCCCGCACAAGCGGAGGAACAUGUGGUUUAAUUCGAUGAUACGCGAGGAACCUUACCCGGGCUCAAACGGGAGAUGACGCGGGCAGAGACGCCCGUUUCUUAGGACAUCUUCCGAGGUGCUGCAUGGUUGUCGUCAGCUCGUGCCGUGAGGUGUCGGCUUAAGUGCCAUAACGAGCGCAACCCCUGCCGACAGUUGCUAACGCGUUGAGGCGAGGACUCUGUCGGGACUGCCGGCGCAAGCCGCGAGGAAGGCGGGGAUGACGUCAAAUCAGCACGGCCCUUACGUCCGGGGCGACACACGUGUUACAAUGGCAGGUACAGCGGGAUGCCAUGGGGCGACCCAGAGCGGAACCCGAAAACCUGUCUCAGUUCGGAUUGGAGUCUGCAACCCGACUCCAUGAAGCUGGAUUCGCUAGUAAUCGCGCAUCAGCCACGGCGCGGUGAAUACGUUCCCGGGCCUUGUACACACCGCCCGUCAAGCCAUGGGAGCCGGGGGUGCCUGAAGGCCGUGACCGCGAGGAGCGGCCUAGGGUAAAACUGGUGACUGGGGCUAAGUCGUAACAAGGUAGCCGUAA